Long non-coding RNA from Mustela erminea (ermine), 95 nucleotides. RefSeq lists it as uncharacterized. Lineage: Eukaryota; Metazoa; Chordata; Mammalia; Carnivora; Mustelidae. The transcript is spliced from 3 exons. The record is from RefSeq and is a predicted model, not a curated record.
AAGAGAGCGCAUACAGUAUUUCUCUGACUUACUUCACUUCGUAUAAUACCUUCUAGGUCUAUCCAUACUGUCACAAAUGGUGAGACUUCAUUCUU